CCUACGGGCGGCAGCAGUGGGGAAUAUUGGACAAUGGGGGGAACCCUGAUCCAGCCAUGCCGCGUGUGUGAAGAAGGCCCUCGGGUUGUAAAGCACUUUCAGUGAGGAAGAACGCCUGGUGGUUAAUACCCAUCAGGAAAGACAUCACUCACAGAAGAAGCACCGGCUAACUCCGUGCCAGCAGCCGCGGUAAUACGGAGGGUGCGAGCGUUAAUCAGAAUUACUGGGCGUAAAGCGCGCGUAGGUGGCUUGAUAAGCCGGUUGUGAAAGCCCCGGGCUCAACCUGGGAACGGCAUCCGGAGCUGUCAUGCUAGAGUGCAGGAGAGGAAGGUGGAAUUCCCGGUGUAGCGGUGAAAUGCGUAGAGAUCGGGAGGAAUACCAGUGGCGAAGGCGGCCUUCUGGACUGAAACUGACACUGAGGUGCGAAAGCGUGGGUAGCAAACAGGAUUAGAUACCCGGGUAGUC
RNAcentral lists this ribosomal RNA (465 nucleotides) under Vreelandella stevensii. RNAcentral describes it as "partial 16S ribosomal RNA". It matches the Rfam family "Bacterial small subunit ribosomal RNA", at positions 338 to 795 of the family's 1533-position model. The record is from RNAcentral. Lineage: Bacteria; Pseudomonadati; Pseudomonadota; Gammaproteobacteria; Oceanospirillales; Halomonadaceae.